UGGGGAAUAUUGCACAAUGGGGGAAACCCUGAUGCAGCGACGCCGCGUGGAGGAAGAAGGUCUUCGGAUUGUAAACUCCUGUUGUUGAGGAAGAUAAUGACGGUACUCAACAAGGAAGUGACGGCUAACUACGUGCCAGCAGCCGCGGUAAAACGUAGGUCACAAGCGUUGUCCGGAAUUACUGGGUGUAAAGGGAGCGCAGGCGGGAAGACAAGUUGGAAGUGAAAUCCAUGGGCUCAACCCAUGAACUGCUUUCAAAACUGUUUUUCUUGAGUAGUGCAGAGGUAGGCGGAAUUCCCGGUGUAGCGGUGGAAUGCGUAGAUAUCGGGAGGAACACCAGUGGCGAAGGCGGCCUACUGGGCACCAACUGACGCUGAGGCUCGAAAGUGUGGGUAGCAAACAGGAUUAGAUACCCUGGUAGUCCACACCGUAAACGAUGAUUACUAGGUGUUGGAGGAUUGACCCCUUCAGUGCCGCAGUUAACACAAUAAGUAAUCCACCUGGGGAGUACGACCGCAAGGUUGAAACUCAAAGGAAUUGACGGGGGCCCGCACAAGCAGUGGAGUAUGUGGUUUAAUUCGACGCAACGCGAAGAACCUUACCAAGUCUUGACAUCCCUUGACGAACAUAGAAAUAUGUUUUCUCUUCGGAGCAAGGAGACAGGUGGUGCAUGGUUGUCGUCAGCUCGUGUCGUGAGAUGUUGGGUUAAGUCCCGCAACGAGCGCAACCCUUAUGGUCAGUUACUACGCAAGAGGACUCUGGCCAGACUGCCGUUGACAAAACGGAGGAAGGUGGGGAUGACGUCAAAUCAUCAUGCCCUUUAUGACUUGGGCUACACACGUACUACAAUGGCGUUAAACAAAGAGAAGCAAGACCGCGAGGUGGAGCAAAACUCAGAAACAACGUCCCAGUUCGGACUGCAGGCUGCAACUCGCCUGCACGAAGUCGGAAUUGCUAGUAAUCGUGGAUCAGCAUGCCACGGUGAAUACGUUCCC
This 995-nucleotide ribosomal RNA is filed under the name uncultured bacterium. Its description in RNAcentral is "bacterial SSU rRNA". It matches the Rfam family "Bacterial small subunit ribosomal RNA", at positions 355 to 1375 of the family's 1533-position model. The record is from RNAcentral.